CCUACGGGCGGCAGCAGUGGGGAAUAUUGGACAAUGGGGGCAACCCUGAUCCAGCCAUGCCGCGUGUGUGAAGAAGGCCCUCGGGUUGUAAAGCACUUUCAGUGAGGAAGAACGCCUGGUGGUUAAUACCCAUCAGGAAAGACAUCACUCACAGAAGAAGCACCGGCUAACUCCGUGCCAGCAGCCGCGGUAAUACGGAGGGUGCGAGCGUUAAUCGGAAUUACUGGGCGUAAAGCGCGCGUAGGUGGCUUGAUAAGCCGGUUGUGAAAGCCCCGGGCUCAACCUGGGAACGGCAUCCGGAACUGUCAAGCUAGAGUGCAGGAGAGGAAGGUAGAAUUCCCGGGGUAGCGGUGAAAUGCGUAGAGAUCGGGAGGAAUACCAGUGGCGAAGGCGGCCUUCUGGACUGACACUGACACUGAGGUGCGAAAGCGUGGGUAGCAAACAGGAUUAGAUACCCGGGUAGUC
Molecule: ribosomal RNA, 465 nt
Filed under: Vreelandella stevensii
Lineage: Bacteria; Pseudomonadati; Pseudomonadota; Gammaproteobacteria; Oceanospirillales; Halomonadaceae
Description: partial 16S ribosomal RNA
Rfam family: Bacterial small subunit ribosomal RNA
Source: RNAcentral